AGAGUUUGAUCCUGGCUCAGGACGAACGCUGGCGGCGUGCUUAACACAUGCAAGUCGAACGGUGACUCACCUUCGGGUGAUGAUCAGUGGCGAACGGGUGAGUAACACGUGGGCAACCUGCCCUUAGCUCUGGGAUAACGAGUCGAAAGAGGUGCUAAUACCGGAUACCACCUCCCUCGGCAUCGGGGGAGGUUGAAAGUUCCUCGGUCAGGGAUGGGCCCGCGGCCUAUCAGCUAGUUGGUGAGGUAACGGCCCACCAAGGCGACGACGGGUAGCCGGCCUGAGAGGGCGACCGGCCACACUGGGACUGAGACACGGCCCAGACUCCUACGGGAGGCAGCAGUGGGGAAUAUUGCGCAAUGGGCGAAAGCCUGACGCAGCAACGCCGCGUGAGGGAUGACGGCCUUCGGGUUGUAAACCUCUUUCAGCAGGGACGAAGCGAAAGUGACUGUACCUGCAGAAGAAGCGCCGGCUAACUACGUGCCAGCAGCCGCGGUAAUACGUAGGGCGCAAGCGUUGUCCGGAUUUAUUGGGCGUAAAGAGCUCGUAGGCGGUCUGUCGCGUCGGAAGUGAAAACCCGGAGCUCAACUCCGGGCCUGCUUUCGAUACGGGCAGACUUGAGUACUGCAGGGGAGACUGGAAUUCCUGGUGUAGCGGUGGAAUGCGCAGAUAUCAGGAGGAACACCGGUGGCGAAGGCGGGUCUCUGGGCAGAAACUGACGCCGAGGAGCGAAAGCGUGGGGAGCGAACAGGAUUAGAUACCCUGGUAGUCCACGCCGUAAACGGUGGGCACUAGGUGUGGGGACCAUUCCACGGUCUCUGCGCCGCAGCUAACGCAUUAAGUGCCCCGCCUGGGGAGUACGGCCGCAAGGCUAAAACUCAAAGGAAUUGACGG
RNAcentral lists this ribosomal RNA (894 nucleotides) under uncultured bacterium. RNAcentral's name for it is "bacterial SSU rRNA". It matches the Rfam family "Bacterial small subunit ribosomal RNA", at positions 8 to 916 of the family's 1533-position model. The record is from RNAcentral.